GACGGAGGAGGCAAGCGUUAUCCGGCGUUAUUGGGCGUAAAGCGUCCGCCGGAGGCUUUCCAAGUCUGCUGUCAAAGCCCGAGGCUUAACCUCGGAUCGGCGGUGGAAACUGGAUCGCUAGAGUAAGUCAGGGGUAGGGGGAAUUCCCGGUGUAGCGGUGAAAAGCGUAGAGAUUGGGAAGAACACCGGUGGCGAAAGCGCUCUCCUGGACUGCAACUGACACUGAGUGACGAAAGCUAGGGGAGCGAAAGGG
RNAcentral lists this ribosomal RNA (253 nucleotides) under uncultured bacterium. Its description in RNAcentral is "partial 16S ribosomal RNA". It matches the Rfam family "Bacterial small subunit ribosomal RNA", at positions 524 to 776 of the family's 1533-position model. The record is from RNAcentral.